Molecule: long non-coding RNA, 494 nt
Filed under: Mytilus galloprovincialis (Mediterranean mussel)
Lineage: Eukaryota; Metazoa; Mollusca; Bivalvia; Mytilida; Mytilidae
Source: RNAcentral
GGCACAUACUGUAGCACAUCGAGUUGUGUCAACGUAAAUCUGUUAAUUGACUACAAUCAUAUUUUGUGAACAAAAAACAUAUCCUGUUUGAAUAGCUUGCUCCAACUAGUAUAAUAACAAACACAAAGUCGUCGUUUCAUCCCCCAAAAUAUCUUGUCAUCACGUUUAUGUAGAAUCCAUUUGUGUUUAUUUGAUUAAUGUUCACAUAGAGACAAAUUGUCACAAAAUGUCUUUUCAUAACAUGGAUCCUCAAAAUCAAAUGUCAAUAAUUUGUAUCCUGUCUUUGUUUAUAAUAUGCUUUUUAAAAUUUUUACUUAAUAGCAUUCUAGCAAGUCCUACAGGAAUAAAGAUCCACUGCCCAUUAUAAUAACAUGCGAAUGAUCUUCUUAAUCCCCAUGUUUUCUUUGCCAUUUUACGAGAAAUUGUUUCAUUUUCUGCACUGAGUCCAUAUACCAAAACGACAAGGAGAACGCAUAUGCAAAUCUUCAUGUUGC